CUCCAAACAGCGCUGAAAUUCCUCUCAUCACCUCCGUCCCCGAACCUCCCUCUCGCCCCACCCCCAAACUCAGCCUUUCAGACACCCAGGGCUGUCCCUGCAGCUCGCCAUCCCCACACACAUCCCCUGAGCUCUCCUGCCUCACCGCUGUCCCCCAGGCACUGCGGGCAGGCGGCGGGAGGUUGGCUGUCCCGGCCCCGGGAGGUGGCUGUCCCGGCCCCGUUGGCUCCCAUUGGGUUUGGCGCUGCUCACCACCCCUGGAGGUCCCCACGGCCACGGAUGUGGCCCUGCUCAGCCCGGUCUGCCGGGGGUGUCCCUGUCCACAGUGAGGUGGGUGUAAAGAUCCCCCCCAGCCCGAGCCCUUCCGUAGUCCUGUGCCGAUGCUAUGGCUUCAGGCCGCUCCCAAAGCCCACGUUCGUUUCUGGACGGGACAGCAGCGGCAAUCGGUGCCCCCACCGGCGGCACAGAGCCGCUCCACCCCCCCACCCCUCGCAGUGCAGUCAGGCCGCAGCCGCUUCCUGGCGUUGCGCACAGCUCCUUGCCAACCCAACGUUAGGAAAGAGCUUCUGCUUUCAGUGCCGGGGAGCUCCGCUGCCGCCGCAGGGGUUCACCUCCCUCGGGUCCCUCUGCUCGGACGGCUCCGAUGGUGUUCAGGAGGGAGGAGAGCUCAUAGGGCAGCGUCCGUGGAUGGGAAAUGGAGCACCCGGAGGGGAAAGAGGCGGCGGGGCGAUACCUGAGAGCAAAGCUGAUGGAUGGCAGGAAACCUCCUCCCGCAGCGGGCGGCCGGGCACGGGGUCCCCCCGCAGCUUUCCCCGCGACGGAGCCGGGACGGGCGCCCACGCCGGGCUCCAAGGGCGAACCGCCCCCCGCGUCCCCCCUCGCCGGGAGGGCGGGCGUCAGCAGAACCCCUCCGCCGCGCAGCAAAGCUCACAGUGAGGAUCCCGGCCCCCGUCCGAUGCCCGUUCCUCAGAGCCCGGAGUGGAUGGCGCGGCUGAAGAAGGGCAUCGCUCCGAGCGCCGCCUCCCAUCCCCCCGCUGCCAAGCCGGGAGGACGGGACGCGGCGGACAACGAGGGGGUCGGAGCCACCUCCCAUCCCCCCCCGAGGAUCCCACCCCCGCAGAAAUGGCCGCUGCUCAAAGACACGGCCGCUCCGGCGCUCCCCGCCUCAGGCGCGGCCGCUGCGGGUGGGAUCCGGGGCUCGGGGCACCCCCCGCGCAGAAAGCCGCUGCCGCACGCCGCGGUGCUGGGAGCGAGGCCGGCAAAGCCCCGGCGGCCUCCGGGCGUGGACCUGGAGAAGUUCCAUAGAGCUGCACCCCCCAGNGGGGAUGGGUACAGCAUGGGGCUGAAUACGGUAUGGGAAUGUAUACGAGUUGGAGAUGAUGGGUACAGGGUGCAGAUGGGUACGGGUUGGGCUGGGUAUGGGAUGGGAAUGGGUACAGGAUGGGAAUGGGCACGGCGUGGGGCGCAGGCAGAGCUCUGGCUGAUGGGAUCACACACCAGCUUGGUGUCUUCCUCCGCCACAGCGCAGGGCUCGGUGCCCGUGGGUGUGCUGCUGUCCGUUUGGCUCAGCCCCGCUGUGCUCCACAGUGGCCUUCCAGAGCUGGGCACAUUUGCUGCUCUUUAACAGCUUUAAGCUUCUUUCAAAUCUUGCCUCUCCCUCAACUUCUCAAAGUUCUUCUCCACCAUCCCGCGAUGUUUCCCUGUUUAUUGCCCAGCUCACGCCAGGACUGUGGGGUGCUGUACAACCUCCUUUCCUUGGGAGAACCGCACAGCCCAGCUGCUUUCUGGUGCUUUCUACCGCUCUUUGGGUGUGCUGCUGGCUUUGUCCCCCACCCCCCUCUGCUCCAGCACCGCCCUGGGCGUUCCCGAGCCCCGAGCCGAGCUGCAGACUCCAAAGAACCUCUCGUUGCUCCCCCUCUCCCCCAGGUUACCCAACGCCGUUCCCACCGCGGGACGCUCCGAGCGCAGCGGGGUCAGUACUGAGGAGGCACUUUUAUUUUGGGGGUCUCUGACCGAGUGGGAAGAACAUGGGGAGGAAUGGUGGGAGGGUGGGUCGGGGCCCCCCGUGAUGCACCCCCGGCGGUGCAGACAUCGUCCUGGGCGGCUGCACGGCUCCCUGACGGCGCUCUGCUCCAUCCCAGUGGUGAGGAGGAGAUAUACGACGACGUUGAGAGUGUUGAGCCGCUCAGGAGAGACCGAAGCUUUCCGCCGCCCCCCACGUUCCGGCCUCCAGCGCAUCUCAAACCCAGAGGAGGUGGGGGCAGAGGGGGCGGGUGUGGGGCAGGGGGGGCCGGGGUGCCCUGAAGGAUGGAGGGCAGCCAGUGGGGCCGGUGACAUCAGCUUGGUCUCGGGGGCGCAGAUGGCACCUGAGGGGCGUGGGCACCCUGGGGGCCAUGGGAAGUGAUGCUCUCAGCCUCCAUCACCCCGUGUAGCCCUCUCCAUGCUUGGUUUUACAGGGGGAGCUGCUGCUCGGGCCCACAGCACGGUUGCACUGCUGGUUGCUGCACAAAGGUAAUGAGGGGGGUGAGUUCUUCCCGUGGGUCUGCUGAGACCCCCCAGUGCUUUGUUGUUCGGUGGUCUCCGCUGGAGCUGCGAUGAGAACCUGUCCACAGAGCCCCAGUGGUCCUGGGGGGGGAUGGGGAGGAUGGGGAACCUCUGGGUGCUGGGAGGAACCCGGGCAAGGGCAUCGGGGGGGCAGCGGGAGGGGGUGAGCAGAACCUUCCCACCACUCAUAACAUCUCUGCAGAGGAGCUCAGAGCUCCCAGAAGACGAAGCCAAUGACACUCAAAGAAUGCAAGAAGGAAGAGAAAGCGGACAGGGAGUUUCAGAAGAAAUUCAAGGUGAGCAGCAAGGAGCGCUCGCUUUUCCCUCUGAACUCCCCCUCGCUGCGCAGGGAGGACGCUGUGCGGAGGGGCUGUGUGCUCCAGGAGCAGGCGGUGCCCAGCAGGCCGCCCCCUUGAGGCUCCCCCAGGACAAACCGACCCCACAGCGCCGUGCUUCGGAGAAGUGUGCUGUCCCCAUAGAGGAAGCGGUUGGAGCUCAGCCAGCCUUCCUCUGCUUGUGUUUCAGUUCGAAGGGAACAUCACCGUCCUGACCCGGAUGAUGGUUGACCCUGCGACGACGGAGAAGAGGGGCGGGGGGAAGAACCUUCCGCUCAGACGGGGCGAGAUCCUCGACGUCAUUCAGUUCACCAAUAAGGAGCAGAUCCUUUGCAGGAACAGCCAGCGGAGGUGUAAGUCGGCCGCUGCCCCACGCUCAGCAUCGCUCCUGAGGGAUCCCAGCUCCAUUCCUGGGGCUGCUCCGCUCCCUCCCAGCCCCCCCGGGGGUGCACAGCCCCACACGCUUCUCCCCGCUCUGUUGCAGACGGUUAUGUGCCCCGGGCUGCAAUGCUGCACCUGUGAGUAUCCCUUCCCCAGCCCUUCCUCCCAGCAAUAACCCCCCCGGCCCAAACCCCCCCAGCCGUGGCAGUGACCGGUGGCCGCAGGGAGAUGUGCCCCUUCUGGGGACAACCUGGUGUCCCACCUCUGCGGAGGAGCUGCCCGGGGGGGACACAAGGGGCAGAGAUGGGGCAGAGCAGCAGCAGAGCUGCCCCAUCAUGGUGGGGGCUGUGGGGGCCUGAACCACUCAUAGCUUUUCCCCCACAGGGACACGGACAUCUACGACGAUGUUGAUCUCUAUGGUAGGUGUGAGUAAAGCACUGCUGGUCCCAAGCCCCAAGCAGAGCCCUCCAUGUCCUUUGAGACGCCCCAAACCCCCACAGUGCCCCUGCUGAGCGCUCUGCAGCCCAAACGGGAACGGCUGCAUGACUGCAGUGCUGAUGAGUGAACAUCUGUUCCCACCGACAGAGUGACCGACCCAAAGCCACGGGAGCACCACCAGACCCCGAAGGCCGAAGCUCCGAUGCCGGAGGGGCUGUGAGGGUCGGCCCCGCAGAGCAGAGGUUUGGGAGGGUCGUUCAGAUGGAGCCCCGCGGCGCUUUGUUUGAUCUGUGUGAAACGUGGCACUGAUUUGUGUGCUCCUAUCUGUGUUUUUUGGUUGUUUUUUUUGGUUGGUUUUGCCCCAGUGGAGCACUUCCACCCGUGUGGGUGCGGGGUGGGAUGGGGAGGCACUCAGUGCCUGAACGCCGCCUCCGGAUCUGGGAACAGAUCCUUCUGGGCCGGGAACUGAGCUGGGAACGGAGCUCCAUCCGCGCUCCUGAGAGGAGAUUCGAGACAGCCAGCACGGCUUCACCAAGGGCAGAUCGUGCCUGACCAAUCUGGUGCCUUCUAUGAUGGAGUGACGGCUUCAGUGGAUGGGGGGAGGGCGAUGGAUGUCAUCGGAUGUCAUCUACCUGGACUUCCGCAAGGCCUUNACUGAUGGGCAUCGUGGUCCUUUUCAACCCAGGCCAUUCUGUGAUUUGUGAUUCCUGGCGCAUGCGGCCCCACGGGGUGCGAGCAGCAGGGAAGGGUUAAACCCCACUGCGCUCACCCACAGAAAGCCAAGCCCAGAUUAACCGCUGCAGGACGUCACUUUCCAUUACGGGAAGGGCUCCCGAGGCAGCUCUCGGUCUG
This 4550-nucleotide long non-coding RNA is filed under the name Pavo cristatus (Indian peafowl). RNAcentral describes it as "lncRNA (ENSPSTG00000009465.1)". The record is from RNAcentral. Lineage: Eukaryota; Metazoa; Chordata; Aves; Galliformes; Phasianidae.